RNAcentral lists this ribosomal RNA (253 nucleotides) under uncultured bacterium. Its description in RNAcentral is "partial 16S ribosomal RNA". It matches the Rfam family "Bacterial small subunit ribosomal RNA", at positions 524 to 776 of the family's 1533-position model. The record is from RNAcentral.
UACAGAGGUGGCAAGCGUUGUUCGGAUUUAUUGGGCGUAAAGGGUCCGUAGGCGGUUCGGAAAGUCAGAUGUGAAAUCCCACAGCUCAACUGUGGAACUGCAUUUGAAACUUCCGGACUAGAGUAUGAGAGGGGUAAAGGGAAUUCCCGGUGUAAGGGUGAAAUCUGCAGAGAUCGGGAGGAACACCAGUCGCGAAGGCGCUUUACUGGCUCAUUACUGACGCUCAGGGACGAAAGCUAGGGUAGCAAACGGG